UCCAGACUCCUACGGGAGGCAGCAGUGAGGAAUAUUGGUCAAUGGUCGGGAGACUGAACCAGCCAAGCCGCGUGAGGGAGGAAGGUACAGAGUAUCGUAAACCUCUUUUGUCAGGGAACAAAGACUGGGACGCGUCCCCGGAUGAGUGUACCUGAAGAAAAAGCAUCGGCUAACUCCGUGCCAGCAGCCGCGGUAAUACGGAGGAUGCGAGCGUUAUCGGGAUUUAUUGGGUUUAAAGGGUGCGCAGGCGGUGUGUAAAGGCGGGGGUAAACCCCGGGGGCACACCCCCGGCGAGCCGUUGAAACUGGCUGUCUUGAGAUGUCGAGAGGUAUGCGGAAUGCGCAGUGUAGCGGUGAAAUGCUUAGAUAUUGCGCAGAACUCCGAUUGCGAAGGCAGCAUACCGGCGGCGAUCUGACGCUGAGGCACGAAAGCGUGGGUAUCGAACAGGAUUAGAUACCCGAGUAUG
Molecule: ribosomal RNA, 466 nt
Filed under: uncultured bacterium
Lineage: Bacteria
Description: bacterial SSU rRNA
Rfam family: Bacterial small subunit ribosomal RNA
Source: RNAcentral